RNAcentral lists this transfer RNA (59 nucleotides) under Loxodonta africana (African savanna elephant). It matches the Rfam family "tRNA", at positions 8 to 63 of the family's 71-position model. Rfam says of the family: Transfer RNA (tRNA) molecules are approximately 80 nucleotides in length. The record is from Rfam by way of RNAcentral. Lineage: Eukaryota; Metazoa; Chordata; Mammalia; Proboscidea; Elephantidae.
UGGCUCAGUGGUUAAGAGCUUUUGGCUGCUAACCAAAAGAUCGGCAGUUCGAAUCCAUC